This 390-nucleotide ribosomal RNA is filed under the name uncultured bacterium. Its description in RNAcentral is "bacterial SSU rRNA". It matches the Rfam family "Bacterial small subunit ribosomal RNA", at positions 28 to 417 of the family's 1533-position model. The record is from RNAcentral.
GACGAACGCUGGCGGCGUGCUUAACACAUGCAAGUCGAGCGGUAAGGCCCUUUCGGGGGUACACGAGCGGCGAACGGGUGAGUAACACGUGGGUGACCUGCCCUCAGCUCUGGGAUAAGCCUGGGAAACCGGGUCUAAUACCGGAUAUGACUCCAUGACGCAUGUUGUGGGGUGGAAAGCCUUGUGCGGCUGAGGAUGGGCCCGCGGCCUAUCAGCUUGUUGGUGGGGUGANGGCCUACCAAGGCGACGACGGGUAGCCGGCCUGAGAGGGCGACCGGCCACACUGGGACUGAGACACGGCCCAGACUCCUACGGGAGGCAGCAGGUGGGGAAUCUUGCGCAAGUGGGCGAAAGCCUGACGCAGCGACGCCGCGUGAGGGAUGACGGCCU